UAUAUUCUUUAUCCAAAGUAGGAAAUUAACUUUCUUAGAAGUGCAAAGCAAAGGAUGAUAAUGUUGCCUAAAUUCCAAUAUAAUAUUUCCUUUCAUAUCUAAGGUUAUGGACGAAUUUCUCAACCAAGCGGCCAUAACCUGUUCUGUUUGUGGUGUGGAAUUAUAUAGUGUCCAAGUUCAUCAUGAACCAAUCCUGAAGGGUCCUUACUGGAGGAAUGGCAUUUGCGGUCAUUUCCUGUUCUGUUUAAUCCAGAAAUAGUGCUGGAGAUGGGGAAGUCUAUUGCAAGAUGGUGAUCCUAAUCCAUUUUCAUUUCUAAGCCUGUGGCAAACUGUUGCUCCUUAAAAAUUGUUAUGUUCAUUGAAAGACCCUGGUUCUAUUGGAAGAGGUAUUGCAUGGUGCAGUCUUAUUUUAUACUCCCUCCGUUUCACAAUGAGGAAAAUUCUCGCCAGAAACUGAAGAACUUUCAACCAGACCAAAAAAAAAGAAGGAAAACUAUUCGAGAUCUGAGAGUCUCUAAGGCACCAAAAAAUAUACAAGAAGAUUCAGUACAGAUCUUCGAGCUAGAGCUGCAAGCAGCAAGAGAUAGAAUCUCACCUGUAAAUCAGAACAAGGGUCUUCUUUCGUCAGCUAAUCCAUCGAAGCGCAGAGCUAGUCAGAUGAUGAUUUCUGGAGGUCGAGAGGCUACUCCCCUCUCUCUCCCUCGCCUUGAUCUGAACUUCUUUAGCCUGCGACGACUUGAGACCAAGUCCCACGCGCUUAGCAGCAUCCACACUGAACUAGCAGAAGAAACCGCUGCGAAAGUUCAGCCAAAAUUUCCAGGAAGAAGCCUAGAGAAGAGAUAUCCACUACCGCAGUCAAUCUGAGCCGUCGGUUGGACGGCUCAAUGGCCAGAUUUUGUCAAGUUCAUCUGGGCCGGGUCAACACUCAGCAGCGAGGUCAACGACUCAACGUCGUCAAUUAUUUUCUUUUCCUUUUCUUUUUUUUUAUUUGACAAAAUACUCGGUUACUAUAAUGGGCUUAGUAGUGUGGGCCGGAAUUCACUUGUGGGCCGCUCUAUAGCAGGCCGAAACCCAACAAGCGCUCGCCGGCGACGGCAUUUUUCACGGCGAGCGUUUUCUGGAGUCUCCGGCGGCCGGCGAGGUGGGCUGCGCCGACGCUUCUGGCCAGAUUCGCCUGAGGAGUGUAUUGCUGCUAUCGUCCAACAAACAAUAUAUAAAGGGAUGCUAUGAGAUCAUUAUGUAAUAAAUCCAUGUCAAAAUGGGAAGAAAGGAUCAUUAUUCAUAUUAAACAGUGCGCUACCUGAAAC
This is a non-coding RNA of Oryza sativa Japonica Group (Japanese rice), 1307 nucleotides long. The record is from RefSeq and is a predicted model, not a curated record. NCBI's taxonomy places the organism in Eukaryota, Viridiplantae, Streptophyta, Magnoliopsida, Poales, Poaceae.